AGCGUCGAACAGUAACUGAAGGAUUCGAUCAUGGCUCAGAUUGAACGCUGGCGGGAUUUACACAUGCAAGUCGAACGGCAGCACGGCCGGACUUCGGUCUGGUGGCGAGUGGCGAACAGGUGAGUAAUGUAUCGGAACGUGCCUAGUAGCGGGGGAUAACUACGCGAAAGCGUAGCUAAUACCGCAUACGCCCUUCAGCGGGGAAAGCAGGGGACCUUCGGGCCUCGCACUAUUAGAGCGGCCGAUAUCGGAUUAGCUAGUUGGUGGGGUAACGGCUCACAAGGCGACGAUCCGUAGCUGGUUUGAGAGGACGACCAGCCACACUGGGACUGAGACACGGCCCAGACUCCUACGGGGAGGCAGCAGUGGGGAAUUUUGGACAAUGGGGGAAACCCUGAUCCAGCCAUCCCGCGUGUGCGAUGAAGGCCUUCGGGUUGUAAAGCACUUUUGGCAGGAAAGAAACGGCACGGGAUAAUACCCCGUGCAACUGACGGUACCUGCAGAAUAAGCACCGGCUAACUACGUGCCAGCAGCCGCGGUAAUACGUAAGUGCAAGCGUUAAUCGGAAUUACUGGGCGUAAAGCGUGCGCAGGCGGUUCGGAAAGAAAGAUGUGAAAUCCCAGAGCUUAACUUUGGAACUGCAUUUUAACUACCGAGCUAGAGUGUGUCAGAGGGAGGUGGAAUUCCGCGUGUAGCAGUGAAAUGCGUAGAUAUGCGGAGGAACACCGAUGGCGAAGGCAGCCUCCUGGGAUAACACUGACGCUCAUGCACGAGAAAGCGUGGGGAGCAAACGGGAUUAGAUACCCUGUUAGUCCACGCCUAAACGAUGUCAACUAGCUGUUGGGGCCUUCGGGCCUUGGUAGCGCAACUAACGCGUGAAGUUGACCGCCUGGGAAUACGGUCGCAAGAUUAAAACUCAAAGGAAUUGACGGGGACCCGCACAAGCGGUGGAUGAUGUGGAUUAAUUCGAUGCAACGCGAAAAACCUUACCUACCCUUGACAUGUCUGGAAUCCCGAAGAGAUUUGGGAGUGCUCGCAAGAGAACCGGAACACAGGUGCUGCAUGGCUGUCGUCAGCUCGUGUCGUGAGAUGUUGGGUUAAGUCCCGCAACGAGCGCAACCCUUGUCAUUAGUUGCUACGAAGACCUCUAAUGAGACUGCCGGUGACAAACCGGAGGAAGGUGGGGAUGACGUCAAGUCCUCAUGGCCCUUAUGGGUAGGGCUUCACACGUCAUACAAUGGUCGGGACAGAGGGUCGCCAACCCGCGAGGGGGAGCCAAUCCCAGAAACCCGAUCGUAGUCCGGAUCGCAGUCUGCAACUCGACUGCGUGAAGUCAGAAUCGCUGUGUCGCGGAUCAGCAUGUCGCGGUGAAUACGUUCCCGGGUCUUGUACACACCGCCCGUCACACCAUGGGAGUGGGUUUUACCAGAAGUAGUUAGCCUAACCGUAAGGAGGCGAUUACCACGGUAGGAUUCAUGACUGGGGUGAAGUCGUAACAAGGCCAG
This 1505-nucleotide ribosomal RNA is filed under the name uncultured Bordetella sp. RNAcentral's name for it is "partial 16S-23S ribosomal RNA intergenic spacer". It matches the Rfam family "Bacterial small subunit ribosomal RNA". Lineage: Bacteria; Pseudomonadati; Pseudomonadota; Betaproteobacteria; Burkholderiales; Alcaligenaceae. The record is from RNAcentral.